AUGUUUUCUGUAGCUCUGCUGCUGCUGCUGGCAGCUGGAUGUGUGAAGUGUGAACAGUUGACACAGCCAGCCUCUGUGACUGUGCAGCCAGGUCAGAGUCUGACCAUCACCUGUCAGGUCUCUUAUUCUGUUAGUGGCUACUGGACAGCCUGGAUCAGACAGCCUGCAGGGAAAGGACUGGAGUGGAUCGGUAGCGGAGCUGGAUCCACCAGAUUCUACAAAGAUUCACUGAAGAACCAGUUCAGUAUCGACUUAGACGCCUCUAACAACAGAGUGACUCUAAACGGACUGAAUAUGCAGCCUGCAGACACUGCAGUGUAUUACUGUGCCAGAGACCCCUCUGAUUCUGCUGCUGAGCGUUGGAUCCUGUAA
Molecule: non-coding RNA, 372 nt
Organism: Labrus bergylta (ballan wrasse)
Lineage: Eukaryota; Metazoa; Chordata; Actinopteri; Labriformes; Labridae
Source: the annotation of a RefSeq genome assembly